CUCUACGUAAAUUGUUGUUCAUCGCGAAAGCUGUUUUUCAUUCCGUGAGGACAAACGCAUUCUACGUGCGUCCGGUGAAACUCGACAAUGUGUAACAUACAGGAUAUCGAACACUACAGUUAUAACAAAUAUAUAUGCGUGUCGCAGUCUGUGUCGUAUAUCACGUAUCGGGUUCUGAUUGCGAUACACCGUCUUUUCUUCUUUUUCGUCACAAGGAAUUCUGUCCGCCACGCGAAACAUGCCCCCGUUCGUCUAUGUAAAACACAAUGACCGAUGUCCACAUACUUUUGGCUCCAUCUACGUCCAAGCGAUUACGCGAAUAUUCAAUCUUAGAAUUUCUAAUGACAUUUCUGUAACCUGUCUUUCAAACAGCUACAAAAUUUAAUAUAAUGACAUUUGGUUUGAAGUUGUGUUUGAAGUUAUUUGUUCUCGAACACAUUAACAAAGAGACGAAUGUGAUGAAUUUCAAUCUCGACAAGUUGCACUCACUCGUACAUAUGUACGUACAUGUAUUCCGAUAGUGACCUACAUAGAUCUACAACGUGAUCGAUGGUGGAUUAUUGUAUUAUCUUCUAAAAGUUUCCGGAUAUAAGAGAAAGUCUAUGUAAAUGGACACAGAAUUGUUCGGUAAAUGAUCAUCGUAAACAGAAGAGCAAAUGCGAAAAUAAUAAUCUCGUUAUACGAACACGAUUUUGGGAAAACUUUCAAAGUUUUUAAACGUUGGAAUAUUUUAAGUCGACUUGAGACUCGGU
Long non-coding RNA from Frieseomelitta varia, 752 nucleotides. RefSeq lists it as uncharacterized. Lineage: Eukaryota; Metazoa; Arthropoda; Insecta; Hymenoptera; Apidae. The transcript is spliced from 2 exons. The record is from RefSeq and is a predicted model, not a curated record.